AACGUAGGAGACAAACGUUAUCCGGAGUUACUGGGCGUAAAGGGCGUGUAGGUGGUAUCGUAAGUCUGGCGUGAAAUUUCUCGGCUUAACCGAGGCAGGUCGUCGGAUACUGCGAGGCUAGAGGACGGUAGAGGCGUGUGGAAUUCCGGGUGUAGUGGUGAAAUGCGUAGAGAUCCGGAGGAACACCAGUGGCGAAGGCGACACGAUGGGCCGUACCUGACACUGAUGCGCGACAGCAUGGGGAGCAAACAGG
Molecule: ribosomal RNA, 253 nt
Filed under: uncultured bacterium
Lineage: Bacteria
Description: partial 16S ribosomal RNA
Rfam family: Bacterial small subunit ribosomal RNA
Source: RNAcentral